GUUUGGCAUUCAUUCAGAGCCUGGGUUUUUAACUCUGAAUUUUGAUUUGGGCAUUCGCCUGGCGUGAUAUUCUGCCAGGGCCUUCCCAGUCUGUUCUCUGCUGUUUUGCUCCUGAAGAUUUACAGCUAAUGAAGGGAUAAAGAAAGGUCAUGGCGAGAGGCAGCAGCAUGUGGUGGUGACUCACUGGCGGGCCUGGUGUGGAGCCAGCUUGAGUGGAACACUUGCCCGGCUGCUGUGCCUGUUUUCAUGUGGCUCUCGGCCAUGGCCCUGCAGCAAGCAGUUUCUCGACAGUGCCUGGUCAGAGGAAAGGCACGGUCACUCUCUCUUCCCCUGCUGUCAUGGACUCGGGACAAGGAGAUGAAGCCUGUUGUCCAUUUGACAAAGAAUCCAACAGCGUUUUGGUGCAUCUCCUCAGCUGAAGGUCUCCAUAUCUAAAGGAAUCCUCUAAUCAGGUGUAUUUUUAAAUGACCAGUCAGAUCUGCUGGGUCAAAUUACCUUCCCUGCACUGUCAUCCCACACCUAAAAAAAGAACGCUAUGUUUCCUCAGCUUGAGAAAUCAAGGACUUCUUCCUGCCACGAUCUUUGUACACUAGAUGGCUGCUGAAUAAUGGGGUCCUAGACCUGGAGGGGAUCUUUAGGUACCAUCAAGUAGUCCACUGCUGCCUAGCAAGUCUCAUUCAGAUGGUCUGUCCAGAUCAUCCCCAGACAGAUAUGUGUACAGGUCUUGAUCGAACUAAAGAUUUAGGAAAUGGAAUUCAUUUUCUCAUGUACAUAUAUUGCCCUUUGCUGCUAUAUCUGGCUUAGAGGAUGUAACCUGGAUGCUACUGGAUCCUAAGCUCCUGAGCUAGGGUGAACUGUAGAUGACUGGUUCAGAUUCUCCACUCACAUUCUGGAUCCUGACCCUUGGCUCUGUACUGCAAGACCCAUACACAUAUGAUGAAGAAACACAGAUGAAUUGUGGUUAUGAUAUAAACAAUGCCCCAGAAACUGAAAUAGAGUACUUUAUUCCAGUCCUAUUUAUAACUCAGCCUCUAUGAACAGAUACAUGGGAACGGCUGGCAUGUAACUCGAGGCAGCUCCACAUCAAACCCACAUCAGCUGCCUGCCACAGACAUCAGCAAGACUCGUCAGUAUGCUGCUCUUGAGGUUAUGCAAAAUUUACAGAAAUAAAGUGGAAAUUGAAAACCUGCACAUAUAUAAAAGAUGAAUUAAAAAUUUA
Cavia porcellus (domestic guinea pig) is the source of this 1219-nucleotide long non-coding RNA. RefSeq lists it as uncharacterized. The record is from RefSeq and is a predicted model, not a curated record. The transcript has 6 exons. Lineage: Eukaryota; Metazoa; Chordata; Mammalia; Rodentia; Caviidae.